Mastomys coucha (southern multimammate mouse) is the source of this 1780-nucleotide long non-coding RNA. RefSeq lists it as uncharacterized. The transcript is spliced from 2 exons. The record is from RefSeq and is a predicted model, not a curated record. NCBI's taxonomy places the organism in Eukaryota, Metazoa, Chordata, Mammalia, Rodentia, Muridae.
CUUGGUGACAAGAUGAGCUCCAUCAACUAAAGACCCCUGCACAUUUCACAUGCUGGCUCUGCCCUCGACAACUCAAAGCACUAUUUCAAAAAUUCAGUAUCUUAAAUACUUUUUUGAUACAUAUUUUCUAAAUAUCAAGAACAUGUGAGUCCUUUUCACUCCAGCAGAUGCUCAGGGAAGAAGUUAAUGACCUUGGGAGCUGAAGGAAGAAGUUGCAUCUAGCCGACUUCCCCAGGUGGGGGAGUACAGCCCAAAAAGCUCUAUAAACUACCAUUGCUGGCAACACAACCAACUGUUCUGGCAGUAUCUGGAAAAGUUGUUUUCUAGCACAUGAAAAUGUUUUGAUCUUUCUCCUGCUCAACACUCUCCAGAAAGACUACCUGCCUCUUUAUCUUCAAGAGAUGGGGGAUUGCUCUCACGCCUCAUGUCCUACUGAGCAGAAAAGAUGAGUGUCUUCAAUGGAGCUGUCCACAAGGACUUGUAAGCCAUUCUCUGCUUCUAGGAAUUUCUCAUGUGUCCCUUUGGGAAAUUUUUCCUCAGCAGAAACUCCAGAUUUCCAACCUUCUAAGGGUGAAGGGCUGCACUCUGGUCAACUGAGAAGGCAAGGCCCUGCAUUUCAGCUGUGAUUGUGCAAAGAUAUAAGUCCAGGGACUGAAGGAACCGAGGAUUGUAAAAGCUAACCUCAUGAGCAAAGGAGCCUAUAGCAGUGUGUGCCUCUCCUGAUUUUACACCAAGAGUUCUCAGCCAAAUAGCAGCCUUUCUUUCAGAGUGAAAAACAAAGCCUUCUCACAGUGCUUGCAUUUGUGAUACAUCUGUAAAAAGUGGCUUUUUUAGCAUCAGAAAGCAUUUUAAUUGUAGUAAACUGAACAAUGCUGAAAUUGUUUGAAGAGGAGAUUAAAUUUAAUGAAAUUCACAAACAACCCCUUUUAGAAAGUAACAACAAUUUUUGAACAUUAAAGAGGCGCUCAUUAUAUCAAGACAGCUCCACUGUGAAAAGCAGUCUGACUUCAAUCACCGCAUAUCCACAUGUUAAUGAACUUCUGUGUAAAAGCAGGCACCGAGAGGGAAGUAAUAGGAACACUGUCUCCAUGAGUGUUUGCGAGAGAAAAAAAAUCUCCUUUAAUCAAUAAAACACCUCCUCACAUGCACCUUAAUACUGACUGGGACUCUUUCAAAGGACACAAAAGGAAGAUGCUGCUUGAAAGUUUCUUUAAAACAUUACACAGCUUGCACUUUCUUCAGGGUUCACAUGCUGUCAGCAACCCAGCUCCAAAGACUUUCAAGUUCCAACAGACACAGCCUAGUACAGUCUUCAUCACCAUCAUUUCAGUGCUGCCCCUGAUCAAACAGACAAAUCUGAAACUGAAGAAUAAGAGGCGACCAGUGACCUUUGAUUAGGACCAAGAGCCUCCAUUGUAAUAUAAUGCCUCAUUCAUCACUCUCUGGGACCAACAAGGAAGUAUAUUACUAACUGAAAGGAUGUCACUAGCAGGCUUAUCCCUCACAAUGAUUUCCAUCAUUAACUAUUAAAUUUUUCAUUUGUAGCAAGUGGUACCAGGUGUUUUAAAAAUAACCAAAACAUACAAAAGCAGUUUCCUAAAUUGCAAAUAAAUGAAUCAUUUUACCCCAACUCUCAUCUACCUGCUACUGACUUUCAGGCCUUAUUAACUGCAUUGUGCUAAUCUUCCAAAACUCACUCUCCCUUCAAGAAAUAGACAUGACAGAAUAGAGGAGGAAAUGUGGGGGAAACAAGUAACAAUAAAAAUCAUAUGGAAACCUA